AUGAAUGAUAUGCUGAAUUCCCGAACAGGGAAACGGGGGAACCAAUCGGUAAAGAACGAAUCGGUUUCUUACUUACCACGGGGUGAAUCACCAGACGGACAACCGUUUGGGGUAGGGCUUCUCUCUAGUCCGAAUCCGACAGCUAACCUCGUAAGCAAACAAAGGAGAACAU
This 172-nucleotide small RNA is filed under the name Paenibacillus pini. RNAcentral describes it as "c-di-AMP sequence". It matches the Rfam family "c-di-AMP riboswitch aptamer (ydaO/yuaA leader)". Rfam says of the family: This family represents a conserved RNA structure found upstream of the ydaO and yuaA genes in Bacillus subtilis and related genes in other bacteria. The ydaO/yuaA element is thought to act as a genetic "off" switch for the ydaO and yuaA genes in its native state. The record is from RNAcentral. RNAcentral also lists the same sequence under 1 other name. Lineage: Bacteria; Bacillati; Bacillota; Bacilli; Caryophanales; Paenibacillaceae.